UUUGGUGAGACACCUCUUCUACAAUGCCAGAAACAAGUAAUGGGAUUCAAAAGGCAGGAUUUGUUCAUCACUUGCCAUGUGGAGGCACUGUCCUAGCUGCUCAGGAUGAAGGGCUUUGUGCUGACAGCUGAGAUCUGAAUCACGAGAAGGAUCCAGCCAUGGGACAACAUGUGGAUGAGUAUUUCGGGCCAAGGGGACAGCAGUGAUGAGGCAGUGACUGAGGUGGGAACCCAGGAGCUCAGUGAGAGGAGACAAGGGGCAAGAGGGAAGGAAGGAAGGAGAAAAAUGCACGGAGGGAGCAAGUCCUGUAGGGAAGUCUUUGUGAGCCAGUGGAAAGGUCUAGGAUUUGUUCUCUCUCUCUAAGUUUCCACUGCAGCACUUCAGCAGGCCUGCCAAUUGCCAGUAUCAUCAAGGUUUCUUUGUGGAGCACCUACUUCCUGUGCAAGCCUCGGAAACCAGGGCCCGGUCCUCCCAACCAGCGGCUGCUUCCUCUGAACGCCUUCAAGUCUGCCCUGUGCUUUCAGAAUCUGUCUUCAUCCAGCACCAUUGAAAACCUCAGGAGUGCACUGAACCACGUGAUGUCUGAGGACCAUUCUGGUCCUGGCAAGCAAUAAAUGACUGCUUUCAAGAAGAACACUGCCUACAGUCCUCCCCAGAAUCCGGAUGGCCCUCUGGCCACUCACGUCCACUGGGUCCCAGUGUGUGAGCACAUGCCCCUGCGAGAAGAAGUCCUGAUCACUGCCUUGUGCUGGGGAUAAAAUAUUGAUUAGGGAAUUUAAAAUUUCAAAAUGAUUCAGGAGCCCCAAAAUGGGGACAUAAUGUGCUGUGCCAAUCUACGUUAUGAGCCAUCUAUCUCCUGUCAGCAAGCAGCCAGAAACUGACAGAAUCAAUACAAACGUGUCUGAAGACAGGCUUAACUCAUUUCCUUCCCCCUGGGGCUCUGGUUGGAGUGGGACAGUCCUGAGAGAUCCACACUGAGGCCAGGACCUUCACACCCACCUGCUUGUCACUGGGAGGCAGAGCUGUGCAGUGCUGCCUAUUUUCACUGCCUCCUCUGCUGAUGCAGGUAUCUCUGCUAGUGCGUCUGGAAAUCUAAAACUUCCAUUGUCUUCUUUCCCUCUCUAACAGUCUAAAUAAGAUGUCUGGCCUGUGGCCUGGAAAUAAAAUAAUAAUAAUAGCUUUCUUAUAUUAAGCACUUGAAAUGUGCCAAGUAUCUUAAAAGAGUCAUCAUUAUUUAACUUCUCAGAGCAUCAGCUUCCCUAUCUGUGAAAGAAAGAUAAUAAUAACACCUUCCUCAUAGGAUUGAUGUAAGAAUAAGGCAGACACACGGUGACUGUAGUUAAUGCCACUGAGAGUGAUUAAAAUUGUAAAUUUUAUGGUGUGUAUAAUUUACCACAAUAAAAAAAUAACAAAAAAAGGUAAAAGCAGAUAAACUACAUCAUAUAGUGCAAAGAAAGUUCUCCAUAAAUGGCAGCUGCUGAGAAAACUGGAAUGCAGAGCUUCAGCAACCCGAAACAUGUCCAAGAUAACAGCUUCAAAGUGGCAGAACCAGCAUUUGAACACACAUCUGCCUGAUGUUGAAACCAGACCAUUGUCCUGCAAACUGCACUGUAUCACAGAGAAAGAAGAGGGGUGCUUCAUGGACAUGUCCUUGUCUGCCAGGUUCUCUUGCUGCUGCUCCCAUUUCCCCACCGGCAUCCCAGGUGCUUGCAUUACUCUGUGAGGUUAAUAAAGAUGUUAUUCCCAGGGAAUGCCCUUGCUCCUCCCUGCCUCAAACAUGGUUCUUUCCACCUGAAACAUUUAUUAAACAUGCUGAAAGGCUUAAAUAGGAAUUUAAUUUUUCUAGCUAAACAAUGGCGUGUGCAGCAGACCAAUAGAAUUACUUGUUUAAUCUUACUCUUGCACUCCUACUCAGCUUCACAUGGCUGGUUAAUCCCAGGAGCAGCAUGACAUGCCAAGAUUUAGUAUACUAAGGAGCACAUCUAUUAAAAAAAAAAAAACCUACUUAUUAUAUUAAGAAAAUGCCCAC
Molecule: long non-coding RNA, 2029 nt
Filed under: Homo sapiens (human)
Lineage: Eukaryota; Metazoa; Chordata; Mammalia; Primates; Hominidae
Description: HSALNT0017984
Source: RNAcentral